ACUUGCAAUAGCAAAUUAUACUGUACCAAUAUCGUAUAGUGAGUCAUGUAAGUCGAAUAAAGUAUAAGGCCUAGUCAUUAUAGUAUGCAAUUGUUUAUAAUAAGUUAUUUCAAAAUCUCAUAUGGCUUUUUAUCUUAUUUUCUUUGACAGCUGGUGAUGCAAAAUAAAAUAGCAAGAACAAUACUGGGGUAUGAUCCAAAGUCGCAUGUGACAGCCCUUGGUCGCGCUAUAUAGAACCAGAUAAAUAAUGAACAGAAAGAUACGAAGAGAUUAUGGCAACGGAAAACUCAACUGUGUGGAAUGCGAAAACAAAUAUAUACCCGGUUCUAUGGAAAUAAAACUUAUAGCUGCAAACAUGCAGCAUUGCACGCAAGUAUAUGAAUGAACAGUCAACUUUCCGAUGGGACUACAUCACAAAUUGCGUGGUGCAUGGCAUACGUAUUGUUUUUCGAAGUCUUGAAAAGACCUUGAAAACCUCUUCUGCGAUUCUGACAUUUUGUAAACAAAUGAGAACAUAUGGGACAUGGGACAAUUACAAUGCAAUCAACUGAUUGAUUGCAACGCGUAGGCUAUAUCGACUAAGAUUAGACGAUAAACGCCUAUUUUGGGCGCAACGGACGCAUUUUGAACUAAUCGAAUCAAAAUUUAAUGAACUACAGAACGUAAUUCCAACAAAUAUUUACUUGGCAGUUGGCAACCGAACUGGCUCUAAAGUAUUUUUGAACAUGUAUAUAAAAUAAUAUGGUGUAGAAUAAUAUAUAUAAUUGGAUAUAAUGUAUAACUAUAUAUAAUGUUAAGUAAUUUAUUGAAUAAAAUUCUCAG
Non-coding RNA from Paramuricea clavata, 822 nucleotides. Lineage: Eukaryota; Metazoa; Cnidaria; Anthozoa; Malacalcyonacea; Plexauridae. The record is from the annotation of a GenBank genome assembly.